CCUACGGGUGACAGCCGUGAGGAAUAUUGGUCAAUGGACGAGAGUCUGAACCAGCCAAGUAGCGUGAAGGAUGACUGCCCUAUGGGUUGUAAACUUCUUUUAUAUGGGAAUAAAAUGUUCCACGUGUGGGAUUUUGUAUGUACCAUAUGAAUAAGGAUCGGCUAACUCCGUGCCAGCAGCCGCGGUAAUACGGAGGAUCCGAGCGUUAUCCGGAUUUAUUGGGUUUAAAGGGAGCGUAGGUGGAUUGUUAAGUCAGUUGUGAAAGUUUGCGGCUCAACCGUAAAAUUGCAGUUGAAACUGGCAGUCUUGAGUACAGUAGAGGUGGGCGGAAUUCGUGGUGUAGCGGUGAAAUGCUUAGAUAUCACGAAGAACUCCGAUUGCGAAGGCAGUUCACUGGACUGCAACUGACACUGAGGCUCGAAAGUGUGGGUAUCAAACAGGAUUAGAUACCCGAGUAGUC
This 460-nucleotide ribosomal RNA is filed under the name uncultured bacterium. RNAcentral describes it as "partial 16S ribosomal RNA". It matches the Rfam family "Bacterial small subunit ribosomal RNA", at positions 338 to 795 of the family's 1533-position model. The record is from RNAcentral.